RNAcentral lists this ribosomal RNA (466 nucleotides) under uncultured bacterium. RNAcentral's name for it is "partial 16S ribosomal RNA". It matches the Rfam family "Bacterial small subunit ribosomal RNA", at positions 28 to 507 of the family's 1533-position model. The record is from RNAcentral.
GACGAACGCUGGCGGCGCGCCUAACACAUGCAAGUCGAACGAGCGAGCGAGAGCUUGCUUUCUUGAGCGAGUGGCGAACGGGUGAGUAACGCGUGAGGAACCUGCCUCAAAGAGGGGGACAACAGUUGGAAACGACUGCUAAUACCGCAUAAGCCCACGGUGCCGCAUGGCACAGAGGGAAAAGGAGCAAUCCGCUUUGAGAUGGCCUCGCGUCCGAUUAGCUAGUUGGUGAGGUAACGGCCCACCAAGGCGACGAUCGGUAGCCGGACUGAGAGGUUGAACGGCCACAUUGGGACUGAGACACGGCCCAGACUCCUACGGGAGGCAGCAGUGGGGAAUAUUGCACAAUGGGGGAAACCCUGAUGCAGCGACGCCGCGUGGAGGAAGAAGGUCUUCGGAUUGUAAACUCCUGUUGUUGGGGAAGAUAAUGACGGUACCCAACAAGGAAGAGACGGCUAACUACGUG